RNAcentral lists this unclassified non-coding RNA (348 nucleotides) under soil metagenome. RNAcentral's name for it is "partial contains 5.8S ribosomal RNA, internal transcribed spacer 2, and large subunit ribosomal RNA". The stretch from base 1 to 120 matches the Rfam family "5.8S ribosomal RNA", at positions 35 to 154 of the family's 154-position model. The record is from RNAcentral.
GAUGAAGAACGUAGCGAAAUGCGAUAAUUAAUGUGAAUUGCAGAAUUCCGUGAAUCAUCGAAUCUUUGAACGCACAUUGCGCCCGCCAGUAUUCUGGCGGGCAUGCCUGUCCGAGCGUCAUUUCAACCCUCGAACCCCUCCGGGGGGUCGGCGUUGGGGAUCGGCACUUACCUGCCGGCCCCGAAAUACAGUGGCGGUCUCGCCGCAGCCUCUCCUGCGCAGUAGUUUGCACACUCGCACCGGGAGCGCGGCGCGUCCACGGCCGUAAAACAACCCAAACUUCUGAAAUGUUGACCUCGGAUCAGGUAGGAAUACCCGCUGAACUUAAGCAUAUCAAUAAGCGGAGGA